GCCAGGUGAGCGCGCCCCAGAGCUCAAAAUUCGUAGCUGGCUGCCCUGUGUCCACCCGGCGGACUACUGGCCAUGGAGCCGCGCACAGGGGACGCCGCGGACCCUAGGGGCAGCAGAGGAGGCCGCGGCCCCUCCCGGCUAGUCGGCCCCAGCGCCUGGCAGCUCCUGGCGCGGCUGGACGCGCGCCCCCUGGCGGCGCGUGCUGCGGUCGACGUGGCGGCGCUGGUACGCAGGGCGGGCGCCACAUUGGGCCUGCGCCGGAAGGAGGUUGUUAGCGUGCUGGACUCUGCGGACAUAGAGGUCACAGAUAGUCGCCUGCCUCAUGCCACUAUUGUGGAUCACCGGCCCCAGCACCGUUGGUUAGAGACAUGUAAUGCACCUCCCCAAGUGAUCCAGGGUAAGGCACGUAGUGCUCCGAAGCCAUCCCAGGCCUCUGGUCAUUUCUCUGUGGAGCUGGUCCGCGGUCACGCAGGCUUUGGCCUCACCUUAGGUGGGGGCCGGGAUGUUUCUGGGGACACUCCACUGGCCGUGCACGGGCUGCUGAAGGAUGGUCCAGCACAGCGCUGUGGUCGUUUGGAGAUCGGGGACCUUGUGCUCCACAUCAACGGAGAGUCAACGCAGGGCCUCACCCAUGCCCAGGCCGUGGAGCGGAUCCGAGCUGGAGGCCCCCAGCUCCACCUGGUUCUUCGUCGGCCUCUGGAGACCCACCCUGAUCGCAGCCCAGAUCCCGGAGGGCCGGAGGUAACGGGGUGUCGCAGCAGCAGCACUUCCCUAGUUCAGCACCCUCCAUCCCGGACGACGCUCAAGAAGACCCGGGGCAGCCCAGAGCCUAGUCCAGAGGCGGCCGCCGAUGGCCCCACGGUUUCUUCUCCUGAGCGCCGCACUGAGGAUCCCAACGACCAGAUCCCGGGUUCCCCGGGGCCCUGGCUAGUGCCCAGCGAGGAACGGCUCUCGCGGGCCCUAGGGGUCCGGGGGGCAGCGCAGCUCGCUCAGGAGAUGGCAGCCGGAAGGCGGAGGCACUGAGCCUACCUCUGACGGCGCGGGGCUCACUAGUUACCGCCCAACCUGGAUCCGGCGCGUGUGGCCUCCGGGCACUUGGCACUUCCCAGAGAGCUUCCACUUGGUCUGGUCCCCCCUCCCGCUGCGCAGUGGCUCUGCCCGCACUCCCCUUGCAGCGUCAGUGGUACGACCCUUCCAGCCCGACUAGCCUGCGCUUCUGGUUCUGGGAGGGAGAGGUGCACAGGGUCUCACACAUAAAUUAUUGUGCAUGGCAUGGAGAAUGCAGAGGUGAGCCUGUCGUGGCGGGACUGCACCAAUGUAUCCACAGUCCUGUCUCGGAAUCAUCCAGACCCUCAACUGACGUCGGGAUAGCAAGGCUGGAAGCCUAGAAGCAGGGCGGCUUCCUUCGCCAGGGGCCUCUGGUCUCCCACUUCCGGCCUAGUCUGCCAGCUUUUGCUGGCACGUAGGCUACCACUCUCCGGGCAUCGACUGGGGCCCUGGAUCCCCCGUUGGGGCGGAGCGGGGAAGGUGUGAGUCAGCGCCCCUGGGCGGGCCGGGCUAAAAAAGGCUGUUAGAACCUUUGGGCCGUGCCCCCAUUUUCCGUACAUGGUGAAGAACUGCAGCCGGGCUUGUGUGCACUCGCCACAUACUGGGCGUUCCCCGCACGGGAGAGGCCCAGAGUUUCCUUCACCCUGCGAACAGAGCCCCGAAGCCAGGGCUUAUAUGGCCAGCGGGACUCCAACCGGGGUAGCCGCGAGGAAGGCACUGGCAGAGGACAGAAAUGUCCAGUCACCUCCGCUGUCACCACAUCCUGAGCACUCGGCCCCAUCCCCCCCCCAGGAGGGAAGCUGUGGUCUGACGGAAUAGGCAACUUUCGCCCCUGUGGGGAGGGGACGGGGAAGGAAGAAAGAAUUUAAAGGAUCCGAGUGCGAGAGUUCAGGUGGCCUUGGAGAGGAGAGAGGAACGGCGAAGACAAGCUGCUAGAGCUGGGAGCUGGAGAGUGAAGAGGUGAACACUUGAGUGGUUAGAGCUGUAGAUAGACAUUGUGGGGAAGUGUGCCAGGGUGGCUUCCAGCUACCCCUGACUUAGAGCCUGGUGGAGAUGUGGUUCUUCAGAAGUCAGCAUAAGGCUCAAGAGCCCCAGUCCUAUAAAUACAGUCACACCCAAGAGACUAAUAAUAGUAACCCCAGCCACCAUGUACUUAGUUUUAUCCCUGCUACUGGCUCUAUUGCAAUAUUUAUUUUCAUCUACAAUAGUUGCACAUCUACUCAACGAUCCGAAUAUGUCCAUUUCACAGAGGAGGAAAGUGAGGCCCAGGGAGUGCAGAUAGCUUGAGAGAGGAGGAUCAAAGCAAGAUUUAAUCAAGGCCUGAUUCCCAAGUCUGUCCUCUUAAUUUCACCUGCAUUGAAACCCAACUGUAUACAUUGCACUGUGCUAGGUACUGUGGAGAUGCUGGAGGAACAAGACAUACAAUUUGUCUUUGUGUAGCUGAUGUAUGUAAUGAGGGUAGACAGAUGUCAGACAAAAAAGACAAGAAAAUGAAUAAAUAAAAAA
This is an RNA transcript of Rhinopithecus roxellana (golden snub-nosed monkey), 2553 nucleotides long. It is a transcript of the gene named MAGI family member, X-linked, with no coding region annotated. Lineage: Eukaryota; Metazoa; Chordata; Mammalia; Primates; Cercopithecidae. The transcript has 7 exons. The record is from RefSeq and is a predicted model, not a curated record.